AUGGUUAUCAAGCUGGAUUUCUCGAAGGCUUUGGACUCUGUCUGCUGGCCCUCCCAGCUUACCAUUCUAGCUGCCACGGGCUUCCAAAACAAAUGGAUUAAAUGGAUUGAAUCUUUGCUUGUUACCGGCAAAACAACCAUCCUUCUUAAUGGAAUCCCUGGCCCGUGGAUACAAUGUAAAAAUGUGUUACGACAGGGGGAUCCGCUAUCCCCGUUUCUCUUCAUAAUAGUUGCAGAUGUACUUCAAAGAAUGAUCAUAAAGGCUUGUCAGCAAAAUCUGCUUGCACACCCCAUCUCCCCAGAUCUUCCGUGCCCGGUCCUUCAAUAUGCGGACGACACCCUAAUUAUCGUUAAGGCUGAUGCUUCUGCGGCUGCAAAUCUCAAAUGUAUCCUCAAUGACUUCUCGAGCACCACUGGGCUAGCCAUUAACUUCUCUAAAACCACUUUCGUCCCCCUAAGUAUUGCGCCGGAAAUUGCCUCCUCGAUGGCGGCCAGACUUGCCACCUCUGUAGCCUCUUUACCACAAAAGUAUCUUGGCCUCCCUGUUGAAAUAUAUUGCCCGCCUCCCUCCAUCAGUUCGGGCUUUUGGAUGAGUUGGCUGGUGCAUGAAUACAAUAUGGUAUCUGAGCCAAGAGGUAUUGAGUUCAAGACCUUGUCAACGCAGUAUUAA
Molecule: ribosomal RNA, 669 nt
Filed under: Triticum aestivum (bread wheat)
Lineage: Eukaryota; Viridiplantae; Streptophyta; Magnoliopsida; Poales; Poaceae
Description: partial small subunit ribosomal RNA
Source: RNAcentral